Molecule: long non-coding RNA, 407 nt
Organism: Myiozetetes cayanensis
Lineage: Eukaryota; Metazoa; Chordata; Aves; Passeriformes; Tyrannidae
Exons: 3
Source: RefSeq, a predicted model, not a curated record
UCUGUGCAUUUCUAGAGCCAGCAGAUGACAAGAAGAAAGCAAGACAAAUCCUGCAGCAGUUCCAGUGUGAUUUAAUGAGGUCUGAUCCCAUCCAUAUCUGCUGUUCACCCCAGUUUCUGUUGCAUGAAGUACCUGGUCUGAAGAGGAGGAUGGCAAAAGCGUGGGGCCAGGUCCCACAGCAUCCCAGGCAGGCCCUGAGAGAGUUUUGGAAGCCACAUAUGCUUAUUGAAAUUUGGAGCAGCAUUGCCUGGACACUUUGACAUAGGCAUUGGGAAACACCCUGCAUGACCAGUGAUGCAAUAAGUUGCCUAAUAGCUUGGAGUAUCAAAUUAACACAGGGAAAGACAUUUUGUCCAUAUAAAACCCCAUUAAUCCCAAAUAAGUCAUCAUGGAUUUAUCAGUGGCAG